This 1483-nucleotide ribosomal RNA is filed under the name uncultured bacterium. RNAcentral's name for it is "bacterial SSU rRNA". It matches the Rfam family "Bacterial small subunit ribosomal RNA". The record is from RNAcentral.
GACGAACGCUGGCGGCGUGCCUAAUACAUGCAAGUCGAACGCUUCUUUCCUCCCGAGUGCUUGCACUCAAUUGGAAAGAGGAGUGGCGGACGGGUGAGUAACACGUGGGUAACCUACCCAUCAGAGGGGGAUAACACUUGGAAACAGGUGCUAAUACCGCAUAACAGUUUAUGCCGCAUGGCAUAAGAGUGAAAGGCGCUUUCGGGUGUCGCUGAUGGAUGGACCCGCGGUGCAUUAGCUAGUUGGUGAGGUAACGGCUCACCAAGGCCACGAUGCAUAGCCGACCUGAGAGGGUGAUCGGCCACACUGGGACUGAGACACGGCCCAGACUCCUACGGGAGGCAGCAGUAGGGAAUCUUCGGCAAUGGACGAAAGUCUGACCGAGCAACGCCGCGUGAGUGAAGAAGGUUUUCGGAUCGUAAAACUCUGUUGUUAGAGAAGAACAAGGACGUUAGUAACUGAACGUCCCCUGACGGUAUCUAACCAGAAAGCCACGGCUAACUACGUGCCAGCAGCCGCGGUAAUACGUAGGUGGCAAGCGUUGUCCGGAUUUAUUGGGCGUAAAGCGAGCGCAGGCGGUUUCUUAAGUCUGAUGUGAAAGCCCCCGGCUCAACCGGGGAGGGUCAUUGGAAACUGGGAGACUUGAGUGCAGAAGAGGAGAGUGGAAUUCCAUGUGUAGCGGUGAAAUGCGUAGAUAUAUGGAGGAACACCAGUGGCGAAGGCGGCUCUCUGGUCUGUAACUGACGCUGAGGCUCGAAAGCGUGUGGAGCAAACAGGAUUAGAUACCCUGGUAGUCCACGCCGUAAACGAUGAGUGCUAAGUGUUGGAGGGUUUCCGCCCUUCAGUGCUGCAGCAAACGCAUUAAGCACUCCGCCUGGGGAGUACGACCGCAAGGUUGAAACUCAAAGGAAUUGACGGGGGCCCGCACAAGCGGUGGAGCAUGUGGUUUAAUUCGAAGCAACGCGAAGAACCUUACCAGGUCUUGACAUCCUUUGACCACUCUAGAGAUAGAGCUUUCCCUUCGGGGACAAAGUGACAGGUGGUGCAUGGUUGUCGUCAGCUCGUGUCGUGAGAUGUUGGGUUAAGUCCCGCAACGAGCGCAACCCUUAUUGUUAGUUGCCAUCAUUUAGUUGGGCACUCUAGCGAGACUGCCGGUGACAAACCGGAGGAAGGUGGGGAUGACGUCAAAUCAUCAUGCCCCUUAUGACCUGGGCUACACACGUGCUACAAUGGGAAGUACAACGAGUCGCUAGACCGCGAGGUCAUGCAAAUCUCUUAAAGCUUCUCUCAGUUCGGAUUGCAGGCUGCAACUCGCCUGCAUGAAGCCGGAAUCGCUAGUAAUCGCGGAUCAGCACGCCGCGGUGAAUACGUUCCCGGGCCUUGUACACACCGCCCGUCACACCACGAGAGUUUGUAACACCCGAAGUCGGUGAGGUAACCUUUUUGGAGCCAGCCGCCUAAGGUGGGAUAGAUGAUUGGGGUG